Molecule: transfer RNA, 72 nt
Filed under: Bos indicus (zebu cattle)
Lineage: Eukaryota; Metazoa; Chordata; Mammalia; Artiodactyla; Bovidae
Rfam family: tRNA
About the family: Transfer RNA (tRNA) molecules are approximately 80 nucleotides in length. Their secondary structure includes four short double-helical elements and three loops (D, anti-codon, and T loops).
Source: Rfam by way of RNAcentral
UCCCUGAUGGCCUUGUGGUUAGGGUUUGGGGCUGUCACUGCCGUGGCCCAGGUUUCAUCCCUGGUCAGGGAU